UGUGUACUCCCUCCGUUCCAAAAUACUUGACUUCCAUUUGUCCAAAAAUGGAUGUACCUAUAUACUAAAACAUGUCUAUAUACAUAUAUAUUUUGACAAAUAGAAGGCAUGUAUUGUGCAACGGAGGGAGUAGAAU
This is a non-coding RNA of Triticum aestivum (bread wheat), 136 nucleotides long. The record is from Rfam. Lineage: Eukaryota; Viridiplantae; Streptophyta; Magnoliopsida; Poales; Poaceae.